RNAcentral lists this ribosomal RNA (440 nucleotides) under uncultured bacterium. RNAcentral describes it as "partial 16S ribosomal RNA". It matches the Rfam family "Bacterial small subunit ribosomal RNA", at positions 338 to 795 of the family's 1533-position model. The record is from RNAcentral.
CCUACGGGUGGCAGCAGUGGGGAAUCUUGCACAAUGGGGGAAACCCUGAUGCAGCGACGCCGCGUGAGUGAGGAAGUAUUUCUGUAUGUAAAGCUCUAUUAGCAGGGAAGAAAAUGACGGUACCUGACUACUAACCCCCGGCUAACUACGUGCCAGCAGCCGCGGUCAUACGGAGGGGGCAAGCGUUCUCCGGAUUUACUGGGGGUAAAGGGAGCGUAGACGGGUAAUCAAGUCAGAAGUGAAAACCGAGGGCUCAACUUUGGGACUGCUUUUGAAACUGAGUAGCUAGAGUGCAGGAGAGGUAAGUGGAAUUCCUAGUGUAGCGGUGAAAUGCGUAGAUAUUAGGAGGAACACCAGUGGCGAAGGCGGCUUACUGGACUGUAACUGACGUUGAGGCUCGAAAGCGUGGGGAGCAAACAGGAUUAGAUACCCUGGUAGUC